RNAcentral lists this ribosomal RNA (805 nucleotides) under uncultured Alphaproteobacteria bacterium. RNAcentral's name for it is "bacterial SSU rRNA". It matches the Rfam family "Bacterial small subunit ribosomal RNA", at positions 33 to 886 of the family's 1533-position model. Lineage: Bacteria; Pseudomonadati; Pseudomonadota; Alphaproteobacteria. The record is from RNAcentral.
ACGCUGGCGGCAUGCCUCAUACAUGCAAGUCGAACGAAGUCUUCGGACUUAGUGGCGCACGGGUGAGUAACAUGUGGGAAUCUACCUAAAGGUUCGGAAUAACUGCGGGAAACUGUAGCUAAUACCGGAUGUGUCUGCAAAGAGAAAGAUUUAUCGCCUUUAGAUGAGCCCGCACUAGAUUAGCUAGUUGGUGAGGUAAUUGCUCCACCAAGGCUACGAUCUAUAGCUGAUUUGAGAGGAUGAUCAGCCACACUGGGACUGAGACACGGCCCAGACUCCUACGGGAGGCAGCAGUAGGGAAUAUUGGACAAUGGGGGAAACCCUGAUCCAGCAAUGCCGCGUGAGUGAAGAAGGCCCUCGGGUUGUAAAACUCUUUCAUCAAUGAUGAUAAUGACAUUAGUUGAAGAAGAAGCUCCGGCUAACUUCGUGCCAGCAGCCGCGGUAAUACGAAGGGGGCUAGCGUUGUUCGGAAUCACUGGGCGUAAAGCGUAUGUAGGCGGAUCAAAAAGUUAGAUGUGAAAUCCCUGGGCUCAACCCAGGAACUGCAUUUAAAACUAGUGAUCUAGAAUUUGGUAAAGGUUAGUAGAAUUUCCAGUGUAGAGGUGAAAUUCGUAGAUAUUGGAAAGAAUACCAGAAGCGAAGGCGACUAACUAGGCCAUUUUUGACGCUGAGAUACGAAAGCGUGGGUAGCAAACAGGAUUAGAUACCCUGGUAGUCCACGCAGUAAACGAUGAGUGCUAGUCGCUGGGACAUUAGUUUCAGUGUCGAAGCUAACGCAUUAAGCACUCCGCCUGGGAAGUACGGU